This 1667-nucleotide ribosomal RNA is filed under the name Escherichia coli. RNAcentral's name for it is "partial 23S ribosomal RNA". It matches the Rfam family "Bacterial large subunit ribosomal RNA", at positions 1292 to 2925 of the family's 2925-position model. Lineage: Bacteria; Pseudomonadati; Pseudomonadota; Gammaproteobacteria; Enterobacterales; Enterobacteriaceae. The record is from RNAcentral.
GAAUGCUGACAUAAGUAACGAUAAAGCGGGUGAAAAGCCCGCUCGCCGGAAGACCAAGGGUUCCUGUCCAACGUUAAUCGGGGCAGGGUGAGUCGACCCCUAAGGCGAGGCCGAAAGGCGUAGUCGAUGGGAAACAGGUUAAUAUUCCUGUACUUGGUGUUACUGCGAAGGGGGGACGGAGAAGGCUAUGUUGGCCGGGCGACGGUUGUCCCGGUUUAAGCGUGUAGGCUGGUUUUCCAGGCAAAUCCGGAAAAUCAAGGCUGAGGCGUGAUGACGAGGCACUACGGUGCUGAAGCGACAAAUGCCCUGCUUCCAGGAAAAGCCUCUAAGCAUCAGGUAACAUCAAAUCGUACCCCAAACCGACACAGGUGGUCAGGUAGAGAAUACCAAGGCGCUUGAGAGAACUCGGGUGAAGGAACUAGGCAAAAUGGUGCCGUAACUUCGGGAGAAGGCACGCUGAUAUGUAGGUGAAGCGACUUGCUCGUGGAGCUGAAAUCAGUCGAAGAUACCAGCUGGCUGCAACUGUUUAUUAAAAACACAGCACUGUGCAAACACGAAAGUGGACGUAUACGGUGUGACGCCUGCCCGGUGCCGGAAGGUUAAUUGAUGGGGUUAGCGGUAACGCGAAGCUCUUGAUCGAAGCCCCGGUAAACGGCGGCCGUAACUAUAACGGUCCUAAGGUAGCGAAAUUCCUUGUCGGGUAAGUUCCGACCUGCACGAAUGGCGUAAUGAUGGCCAGGCUGUCUCCACCCGAGACUCAGUGAAAUUGAACUCGCUGUGAAGAUGCAGUGUACCCGCGGCAAGACGGAAAGACCCCGUGAACCUUUACUAUAGCUUGACACUGAACAUUGAGCCUUGAUGUGUAGGAUAGGUGGGAGGCUUUGAAGUGUGGACGCCAGUCUGCAUGGAGCCGACCUUGAAAUACCACCCUUUAAUGUUUGAUGUUCUAACGUGGGCCCCUUACCGGGGUUGCGGACAGUGUCUGGUGGGUAGUUUGACUGGGGCAGUCUCCUCCUAAAGAGUAACGGAGGAGCACGAAGGUUGGCUAAUCCUGGUCGGACAUCAGGAGGUUAGUGCAAUGGCAUAAGCCAGCUUGACUGCGAGCGUGACGGCGCGAGCAGGUGCGAAAGCAGGUCAUAGUGAUCCGGUGGUUCUGAAUGGAAGGGCCAUCGCUCAACGGAUAAAAGGUACUCCGGGGAUAACAGGCUGAUACCGCCCAAGAGUUCAUAUCGACGGCGGUGUUUGGCACCUCGAUGUCGGCUCAUCACAUCCUGGGGCUGAAGUAGGUCCCAAGGGUAUGGCUGUUCGCCAUUUAAAGUGGUACGCGAGCUGGGUUUAGAACGUCGUGAGACAGUUCGGUCCCUAUCUGCCGUGGGCGCUGGAGAACUGAGGGGGGCUGCUCCUAGUACGAGAGGACCGGAGUGGACGCAUCACUGGUGUUCGGGUUGUCAUGCCAAUGGCACUGCCCGGUAGCUAAAUGCGGAAGAGAUAAGUGCUGAAAGCAUCUAAGCACGAAACUUGCCCCGAGAUGAGUUCUCCCUGACUCCUUGAGAGUCCUGAAGGAACGUUGAAGACGACGACGUUGAUAGGCCGGGUGUGUAAGCGCAGCGAUGCGUUGAGCUAACCGGUACUAAUGAACCGUGAGGCUUAACCUUACAACGCCGAAG